This 149-nucleotide non-coding RNA is filed under the name Pan troglodytes (chimpanzee). Lineage: Eukaryota; Metazoa; Chordata; Mammalia; Primates; Hominidae. The record is from Rfam by way of RNAcentral.
GCCAGGUGUGGUGAUGUGCACCUGUAAUCCCAGCUACUCGGGAGGCUGAGGCAGGAGAAUCACUUGAGUCCAGGAGGUGGAGGUUGCAGUGAGCCGAGAUUGUGCCACUGCAACACCAGCUUGGGUGAUAGAGUGAGACUCUGUCUCAA